UACGGAGGGUGCAAGCGUUAUCCGGAAUCACUGGGUUUAAAGGGAGAGUAGGCGGCUUUGUAAGUCAGGGGUGAAAGCCCGCAGCUUAACUGCGGAACUGCCUAUGAUACUGCAGAGCUUGAAAGAGGUUGAGGUCAGCGGAACGUGACAUGUAGCGGUGAAAUGCAUACAUAUGUCACAGAACACCAAUUGCUAAGGCAGCUGGCUGGGCCUACUUUGACGCUUAGGCACGAAAGCGUGGGGAGCGAACAGG
RNAcentral lists this ribosomal RNA (253 nucleotides) under uncultured bacterium. RNAcentral's name for it is "partial 16S ribosomal RNA". It matches the Rfam family "Bacterial small subunit ribosomal RNA", at positions 524 to 776 of the family's 1533-position model. The record is from RNAcentral.